Molecule: ribosomal RNA, 236 nt
Filed under: uncultured bacterium
Lineage: Bacteria
Description: partial 16S ribosomal RNA
Rfam family: Bacterial small subunit ribosomal RNA
Source: RNAcentral
GAUCAUGGCUCAGGAUGAACGCUGGCGGCGUGCCUAACACAUGCAAGUCGAACGGAAUUUACAUGAAGCCUAGCGAUUGUAAAUUUAGUGGCGGACGGGUGAGUAACGCGUGGGUAACCUGCCUUGUACUGGGGGACAACAGUUGGAAACGACUGCUAAUACCGCAUAAGCGCACAGCUUCGCAUGAAGCAGUGUGAAGAACUCCGGUGGUACAAGAUGGACCCGCGUCUGAUUAG